Molecule: unclassified non-coding RNA, 362 nt
Filed under: Hevea brasiliensis (rubber tree)
Lineage: Eukaryota; Viridiplantae; Streptophyta; Magnoliopsida; Malpighiales; Euphorbiaceae
Source: RNAcentral
AAGGAAUGGAAUGGAAUGGAAUGGGUUGGAAUGGAAAGGAAUCGAAACGAAUGGAAUGGAAUCGAAUUGAAGAGAUUGGAAUGGAAUGUAUUGGAAUGGAAGGGAGUGUAAUGGAAGGUUUUCGAAAAAAAUGGAAUCGAAUGGAAUGGAAUUGAAUGGAACGGAAUAGAGUUGAAUGGAAUUGAAUGGAAUGGAAUGGAUUAGAGUGAAAUGGAAUCGAAUUAUAAGGAAUGGAUAGGAAUAGAAUGGUUUCGAAUUGAAUGGAAUCGUAUGGAAUGGUAUUAAACGGAAUGGAAUGGAUAGUUAUGGAAUGGAAUGUAUUUGAAUGUAAUGGAGUUGAAAUUAAUGGAUUGGAAUAGAAU